RNAcentral lists this transfer RNA (70 nucleotides) under Stylasterias forreri. RNAcentral describes it as "tRNA-Ala". It matches the Rfam family "tRNA". Rfam says of the family: Transfer RNA (tRNA) molecules are approximately 80 nucleotides in length. Their secondary structure includes four short double-helical elements and three loops (D, anti-codon, and T loops). Further hydrogen bonds mediate the characteristic L-shaped molecular structure. tRNAs have two regions of fundamental functional importance: the anti-codon, which is responsible for specific mRNA codon recognition, and the 3' end, to which the tRNAs corresponding amino acid is attached (by aminoacyl-tRNA synthetases). tRNAs cope with the degeneracy of the genetic code in two manners: having more than one tRNA (with a specific anti-codon) for a particular amino acid; and 'wobble' base-pairing, i.e. permitting non-standard base-pairing at the 3rd anti-codon position. The record is from RNAcentral. Lineage: Eukaryota; Metazoa; Echinodermata; Asteroidea; Forcipulatida; Asteriidae.
GUGAAUUUAGUUUAACAGAUAAACAUUUGCUUUGCGAGCAAAAAUUGAUGGUUUAAAUCCUUCAAUCCAC